GCAGCUCCUUGUGCAUGAAAAGAAGAAACUGCUGUGGAUGGAGAAUACUGACACCAGGACCAACAACCUACUGUCAACCCACUGCCAUGAUAAGCAUCAAUUAAAAGCUAAUAACACAGGAAUUGGGCUCAAGUUAUGCUAUUUGGCUUCAUUCUUGUGCAACUGCUCAGUAUUGAGAAAAGUGGAGGUUCAUCAUUCCAAUGGGCUGCUAAGCCCCAAAAGAGUGCAGGAAAGCCUUCAGAGCACUGCAGCUCGGAGCUCAUACGCGACCUCUUUGCAGCUUGUGGUCAGUGCUGUUCCUUUCCUUGCCAAACUUGUCUUGUUAUGGAUGCUAAGAAGUCUUUUUGCUUUCCAUGAUAAAAUUAUGGACUAUCUGAAG
RNAcentral lists this long non-coding RNA (379 nucleotides) under Apteryx owenii (little spotted kiwi). Its description in RNAcentral is "lncRNA (ENSAOWG00000008211.1)". The record is from RNAcentral. Lineage: Eukaryota; Metazoa; Chordata; Aves; Apterygiformes; Apterygidae.